AAAAGAUUUUAAAAUAUUUACAAGGGAUUUUAAAAGGAUUUUAAAAGAUUUACAAGGGAUUUUAAAAGGGGUUUAAAAUAUUUACAAGUGAUUUUAAAAAGGUUUUAAAAGAUUUACAAGAGAUUUUAAAAGGGUUUUAAAAUAUUUACAAAGGAUUUUAAAGGGCUUUAAAAGAUUUACAAAGGUUUUUAAGUGAUUUUAAAAGGGUUUCAAAGUCUUUUAAAAGAUUUACAAGGGAUUUUAAAAGGGUUUUAAAGAUUUACAAGAAAUUUUAAAAGGGUUUUAAAAGAUGUACAAGGAUUUUUAAAAGACUUUUAAAGAAUUUACAAGAAGACCCUUUAAAAACUCUUGUAAAUUUUAUUAAAACCUUUUAAAAUCUCUUGUAAAUCUUGUAAAACAUUUUUAAAAUCUCUUGUAAAUCUUGUAAAACACUUUUAAAAUCCCUUGUAAAUAUUUUAAAACCCUUUUAAAAUCCCUUAUAAAUCUUUUAAAACACUUUUAAACCCUUUAAAAAUCUUUAAAAAACCUUUAUAAAUUUUUUAAAGCCCAUUAAAAUCCCUUGUAAAUAUUUUUAAACCCUUUUAAAAUCGCUUGUAAAUCUUUUAAAACACUUUUAAAAUCCCUUGUAAAUCUAUUUCCCGCUAAAAAAAAUUACAAGGAUUUUUAAAAGCAUUUUUUUGGCUGAGAAAAAAUUUGUUACGAAAAAGUUUUGACGGGAAAAAAGUUUUGCGGAAUAUUUUUUUGGCGGGAAAAAUAAAUUUUGUCGCCAAAACAUUUGGCGGGAAUAUUUCAGUUUCCAAUUACAUGUUCCUAUUAGAUGAGGGUAAUUUGGUCAUUCUGUUCAAUGGAAGAGGUAUUUUAAAAAAUGGACAACACAAAAGGGUAUUAUUGCAAAAAGGUGGUAAAAAAAGAGUAGUUUUGCAAAUCUCCCCAAGAACAACGAGGGCACCAAAUUUUUAUAGACCAAAAUUUGACAUUUACUUGUUACCAAAUUGGCUGCAUUAAUGAUAUACC
This 1014-nucleotide small RNA is filed under the name Arabidopsis thaliana (thale cress). Its description in RNAcentral is "ATSL216750". Lineage: Eukaryota; Viridiplantae; Streptophyta; Magnoliopsida; Brassicales; Brassicaceae. The record is from RNAcentral.